GAUGAAGAACGCAGCGAAAUGUGAUACGUAAUGUGAAUUGCAGAAUUCAGUGAAUCAUCGAAUCUUUGAACGCAUAUUGCGCUCUCUGGUAUUCCGGAGAGCAUGCUUGUUUGAGUAUCAGUAAACACCUCAACUUCCAUAUCUUUUUUGAAAUGGGAGUUGGACUUGAGUGAUCCCAACGCUUUUCCUCACCGAAAAGUGGCGGGUUACUUGAAAUGCAGGUGCAGCUGGACUUUUCUCUGAGCUAUAAGCAUAUCUAUUUAGUCUGCCUAAAAAACAGAUUAUUACCUUUGCUGCAGCUAACAUAAAGGAGAUUAGUUCUUGUGCUGACUGAUGCAGGAUUCACAAAAACGGCUUCGGCCGACUUUGUAAACUCGAUCUCAAAUCAAGUAAGACUACCCGCUGAACUUAAGCAUAUCAAUAAGCGGAGGA
Molecule: unclassified non-coding RNA, 432 nt
Filed under: soil metagenome
Description: partial contains 5.8S ribosomal RNA, internal transcribed spacer 2, and large subunit ribosomal RNA
Rfam family: 5.8S ribosomal RNA (bases 1-120)
Source: RNAcentral